CAUUGCAAACACGAAGCUCUUCCAGAAACGCCCUCACAGACACCCCGGAAGUCACGUACCCACUCUGUAGGUGCCCCGGGGCACAGGCAAGCGGACGAGCCAGUUAUCCCUCAGAGCUCCUGCUGCCUCGCCCGCUUUCUCUCGGAAACGUGAAGUGUGGCCUCAGCUGAAAGUGAGGUGGGCCUCAUUCAAUCAGUUGAAUUCUUCAAGAGAGAAAAACUGAAGUCCCUUAGAAGGAAAGAGUUCUGCCUUCAGACUGUCUUUGAACUUAAGACUGUAGCGUCGACUCCUGCCGGAAUUUCCAGCCUGCUGGCCAGCUCUGCAGAUUCACACUUGCCAGCCUCCACAAUCGCAGCUGAGGCGGAGGAACCCUAAGGGCUCAUUGAGAUCAUGGAUUUGCCCUUCUAUGCAUUGAUGGAGCACCUGCUGCCCACAGCGUCUGUAUUUGGUGCUGGGAUGCUGAGCCUCCUUCUUUAUGAAUUUUUAAAAGGACACUGAGAUCUUCAAACAGAGGCUGCCACUCUAAGCAAACAGAUCCCGAGCCCUGGACUCUGAAGCUUGGGCCCAGUUCUCCUUUUCUCCGGGUUUCAGAUCCCACUGUGAAGUGAGGGGGCCCUUCUGAUUCAGGACCCGGGGAAGCCAGGGGCAUGAGCAUCGGUGCCUCUUCUCUAUUUCAAGGACCCUUCUGGGUGUAAAGUUCUCUGAGAUGCCUUACAUGGAUUCCCACCACUGCAAGAUAACCAUCGUAUGUAAAGUGUUAUGACCAGCAGAGCGUAAUUGAAGUGCAUUCCAGAGGGAAAGACAGCGGCUCAGGGACAUGACCCUAUGCCAGCCCACACCACAGUCUUGGUCAUCACUCCUGUUUCCAUGGUGUUAACAGCAGCAGUUACUUGGUUACGGAGAGCUUUUCCUUACGCCAGCACCCUAUCCAUAUCGCUUGGACAGUACGUACACAAUGGUGAUGUUAUUGCUCGUCAUGUAUUACUAGUAAGAGCUUUGUCCCAGCAAGGAAGCCACCCAUGCAUCCACCAAACAUGAGAAACUCAAUCCCCAAAUCUCGUUUUGAAGUUCUGGUUCCUAGUCCAUUCCUAGUAGCCACAAUGAGAUCAGUCAGGGUCUUAGGAGGAAAAAACAUUCACACAGAUGUUUUAAAUGAAGGGACCUUAAUGACUAAACUACUAACAGACCUGUUGGCAUAUUAAGGAAAGAAAUGAGAGAGAUGGGGAAACUAAGGACUGGUAACAGCUGGAAGGCUUUGCCACCCUAAGAAUCAAACAGGGAAGGGAAAGAUGCAGCGUUACCAGGUCCUGUGUGAGCUGGCAUGAAGCCCGGGAGGUACCACCAUGGAGGCAUGGGGCUUCCUGAGAAGUGGUGAGGAAGAAUGGAUGGAGCAGGGAAGCAAGACCCCUUCCACCCACCGGCCCCCUGCUGCUGACCUCUUGGCCAAAUGGGACAGAAGCCAGCUUGCAGGGGCUGCUAUUCCGCCUGUGGGUAUCAGGGCAGAAAGUGGGCAGUUUCAGGGCAGGUGGGGUCAGUCAACAAUUCAGUUCAUCUUUUUCAGUUUUCUUUCUGGAUGAUUUUCAGAUGCUGUCUUGUGGUGUUGGGACUGCAGUUUCAUGAAAAUAUGUCUAGGUGUAGAGUUUGUUUUAUUCUGCUUAGAUAUAGAGUGCUUCCUAUGUUGGUGGAUCCAUCUUUUUUGACAUUAUGGAAAUUGUCUCUUUAAGUGUGUCUACUGCUGUAUUCUUUUUUUUUUUUGUAGGAAAGCAAAUAUAUGCGACUUUUUCAUUCUGUUAUCUAGAGGCAGUUUUGAAUGGUGAUUAAAAGCAUGAUUUCUGAAGAA
RNAcentral lists this long non-coding RNA (1840 nucleotides) under Homo sapiens (human). Its description in RNAcentral is "epigenetically induced MYC interacting lncRNA 1". The record is from RNAcentral. Lineage: Eukaryota; Metazoa; Chordata; Mammalia; Primates; Hominidae.